RNAcentral lists this ribosomal RNA (505 nucleotides) under uncultured bacterium. Its description in RNAcentral is "partial 16S ribosomal RNA". It matches the Rfam family "Bacterial small subunit ribosomal RNA", at positions 28 to 507 of the family's 1533-position model. The record is from RNAcentral.
GACGAACGCUGGCGGCGUGCCUAAUACAUGCAAGUAGAACGCACAGUUUAUACCGUAGCUUGCUACACCAUAGACUGUGAGUUGCGAACGGGUGAGUAACGCGUAGGUGACCUGCCUGGUAGCGGGGGAUAACUAUUGGAAACGAUAGCUAAUACCGCAUAAUAUUGAUUAUUGCAUGAUAAUUGAUUGAAAGAUGCUAUUGCAUCACUACCAGAUGGACCUGCGUUGUAUUAGCUAGUAGGUGAGGUAACGGCUCACCUAGGCGACGAGACAUAGCCGACCGGAGAGGGUGAUCGGCCACACUGGGACUGAGACACGGCCCAGACUCCUACGGGAGGCAGCAGUAGGGAAUCUUCGGCAAUGGACGAAAGUCUGACCGAGCAACGCCGCGUGAGUGAAGAAGGUUUUCGGAUCGUAAAGCUCUGUUGUAAGAGAAGAACGGGUGUGAGAGUGGAAAGUUCACACUGUGACGGUAUCUUACCAGAAAGGGACGGCUAACUACGUG